GCUAAUGAUGAUAAUGAUGAUAAUGAUAAAGGUGAUAAUGCUGAUGGUGAUAAUGCUAAUGGUAAUAGUGAUAACAAUAAUGAUAAAGAUUAUAAGGCUAAUGACGAAAGUGAUCGCAAUAAUUUCAAAGGUGAUACUGUUAACUAUAGGGCCCACAAAAACACACACUAAUGUACACACAAAUUUAUAUAUUGGUCGAUCUUUAUUGACCAGAAAUUUACAAUGGAUACAAAGAUAUAUGAUUCGCAAAACAUGUUACAAUAAGUUAACAUAUCAUUUGUAUAAAAUUAAUUGUACAUUUAAUCUUCUAAAAUCAUAGCUAUGAGGCAACACCCUAUCCAAAAUCAAAUUAAUUUAUUAGAGCAUUUGGUAAAAGCAAUAUCAUUUAUCUAUAAUUAUCUAUUAUUAUUUAUAAACCUAACCAUCGUGGACUUAAUUACGUGAGAUUCUGGUGAUCUGAAAUUAAACAUUUUCUUAAAACACAGAAUUACAAAUGAACAAGUGAACAAGUAUAAUCAUGGGUCUGAGUAUAAUGACAUGCAAGAGUUUAUUUUUAAUCUAGUUUUUGUUUGUGUCAUUAUUGAAGGUUUUUUGACCGUUGAUUGUUAGCAGUAUCAUUUUUUUUUUUUACUGCACGUGUAGCUAUUGCACCUUCUCUCACACGCAAGUCGGUGGGCGAUACAAUAUGUAAAUCGUUAACUUACAAAAAAAAAAAAAGGAGAAAAAAACAAAGGGA
Molecule: long non-coding RNA, 736 nt
Organism: Penaeus chinensis
Lineage: Eukaryota; Metazoa; Arthropoda; Malacostraca; Decapoda; Penaeidae
Exons: 2
Source: RefSeq, a predicted model, not a curated record